Long non-coding RNA from Rattus norvegicus (Norway rat), 4934 nucleotides. RefSeq lists it as uncharacterized. The record is from RefSeq and is a predicted model, not a curated record. NCBI's taxonomy places the organism in Eukaryota, Metazoa, Chordata, Mammalia, Rodentia, Muridae.
CCAACUCUUCCCUCAUGAUCAUUUGCGUCUUUAGGCCCGUCAGCAGAUUCUGUUAAAUGAACUGGCAAAUUGGUGAGGAGCAGAGGAUAUGAAUCUGUAUUAAGCAGCAGUGAGUAGGCAGAGAAGUUGAAUAUCAUGUAGCAAAUAAGUGGGACUGUCCCUCAGUCAUUUGACUCAGGAUUCUAAGCACACACCCCAGGCAGUGCUAGCCUCUUAACAGCUUCCUAUUGGGUGUUGCUUUGUAAAGGGAAGAAGCCAUUGCAGAUGGGAGUGGGUGACCCAGCAUUUCCUGCUACCGAUGACCAAGCAUCGUCUCCUGGAGUCACGUGUCGGUCCUUCAGUGUCCAUGCUCACUCCACCAUGUGUCUAUCAGAGAGAGCAAACACUGGUGUCUUUUCCUGGGCGUGACCUGCAGCCAAGGAAGCCUGCCGAGAGGCAACCCUUAAGGCUUUCCGUUGUGAAUGCAAAGGAGCCUGGAGCUCUUCAUGCUGGGUCCAACAGAGGGUACCUGGCUCUCCAAAACGAUCGCCCACUGGUUUAGACAGUGUUCAGUUCUGCCAGCUCCUGAUUCGACAGAAUCUUACUCUCUGGUCAAGUCAUCUUCCAUUCAUGAUCCUCCUGCCUGUGCUCUCAAGCUCUGGGACACCAGGCAUGCAGCACCAUCACAGCUGUCCCAUUUCUUACAGAAGAUGCAUAACCAAUGCCUCCGCUAAUUCAAGUGGUCAGCCCUGGUGACGUCACUCCCUCUGUUCGCGCUUGCAGCCAUUUAUGCUAACAAUUCUGAUCCUGGAAGAUACUCUGCAUGGUCCCAGAAGAGAAAUAUUCAUCAUUGUCACCCAGCUACAAACCCUGCAGCCUAUGACAGUCACCUGCCUGCAGAUACACUGGAGCAAUAGUGACACAAAUGUUAUGGGAGUCACCAACCACUUUCUGAUUGGAUUUAAGGCCUGAUUGGAUUGGAGAUGGAACCCAUAAUGGACGCUGUUAAAAUGGCUAAGAACCUGAGAGUGGGGAGGUCAUGAGCCUAGGGGAAAAACCUACCACUGUGAUCCUGCUAAAGAAGUGCAGCAGAUUGUGAGUAAGCGUACAAACGAAGACAGUAACUCCAGAAGUGCGGAGAACGAAGUCAAGGGAUGUGCUGAAUGUGGGAAGGUGACACUGGUGAGGAAGGAAUCAGGUUGCCAUCUAUGGAGUAGAGCAUGGCAGUCGUGAAGACAUCAGGGGAGAGACCGCUCCAGCAGCAAAUGCAAGGAUGCUAGAUUUACUGUUUAUUUAUGUGUGUGGGCACACGUAUUUACAUGGCGAGGAUCCACACAAGCAAGAGGAAGGCAUAGGAUCCCCUGAAACUAGAGUCGCUGUUGGUUGUGAGCCACCUGACACGGAUACUGGGAGAUGAAUUCUCACCCUCGGCAACUGCAGCAAGGGCCUUAGUCACUCAGCCAUUAUUUCUAAAAGAGUUCUCAUAAGGAAAUCUAAGUCAACCCCCAGCUUUGACAGGUGAAGUCCUCUGGGAGGCUAGCUGUUCCAGGAGCCAGGACAACACUGGAAUGUCCUUCCAAACCAAGACCCAAACAGCUGAGGAGCUCCAGUUACCCAAGAUGGGCAGCAGCUUUGCCCUCAAGCUGGUGUGAACAUUCCCGCCCAAGGCCUUUAAUCUAUGUGUAAGUGAAGAAAGAAACACACAAUCUUGGGUUUUGGUCAGAAGGGCUAGUUUGAAGAUCCUCUCAUUUCACCAAAGGAUCCUCAAAUCUGUUUUGUUUUUUUAUAAAUUUAAUGUGUGCAUGUAUGUGUUUGCCUGUGUGUGUGUGUGUGUGUGUGUGUGUGUGUGUGUGUGUGUGUUAUGUUUAUGUGUUAUGAGUCUGUGCAGGAAUACUGUGGCACAGCAUGUGUGAGAGUCAGAGGUCAGCUCCCAGGUAUCUAUCUAUCCUCUACCUCCAGUAUGGGCUCCAAGGAUUGAACAAAGGUAGCUAGCAUGCAUGCUUCCACCCUCCAAGGCAACCGGGCAACCCCUUUCAUAUCUUUCCUCCCAAAUUUAAAAACCAGGAAACCUCUUCGUCAAACCCAUAAUUGUGGAUGAUUUAUUGGCCAAAUCUCAAGGACCUUUCUCAUCCUGAGGCUAAACUGAGAAGACAGGGAAUUCAUCUCCCACCGCCACCCCAACCCCAUCUCAUUUAAGGGCACUACCUGUCAAUUUAGACUGCAUUUAUAAAAAGAGCAAAAUUAAUGGCCUUACUCAAAAAAAAAAAAAAAAAAAAAAAACCUCAGUAAGUAGAAGUAAGUAGAGAGAUGGAUUGAAAAUCCUGAGUCCUUGUGAACCCAAAGAGACAAACGUAGCAUUUAAUCUAAACUGUGCCCUCUGGCGUCACUUUCCAGGCACUCAGUGGCACCGUUUUUUUCCUCCUCUUCUACAUCAACUUCAGUGUCACCUCGGCAGAUUCCAGGUGACAGAUGGGCAGCCUCAUUUUAAAAGUCUUCGGUUAGGCUGACCUGUGGCCUUUCCAGAAGAGUGAAAUAAAUCACCCGGCCCUCGUGUCCUCCUUCCUCACUUCCUGAGAUGGGUGCCACCAAAGCUUGACAGACCCCAUGAGGAUCAACCCCUGCCCAGUGCCUGUGGACACUGCAGUUUCUCCCACUAUUUGUGCAAACCACGCCUACCAAGGCUCUACAGCACCUGCCCCAGACCUUCCCAAGAGCACUCAGCCCUGGGUGUCCCCAGAGGAGAUGCGAGCCCGCAGUGUGAUAGACAGCUGAAGUAAACUGAUCUGCUACUAAAUCCAUAGCAAUUCAAUUUAAACUCCACGGGGUUUAUUGCUGAGAACAGACACAGCUUAAACAGUAUUGUGAGGAGCCAUUUAAAAAAAUUAUUAAGGAUCUAGAGGGGUAUGUGUGAGGAUGGAAAUGUUAGAUUAUGUGUGAAAGAGAGGGCUUGGGAGACAGUCGUGGACUGCUAGAGACCAUUGCAUUACGUGAGCGUUAACUUUGGAGUUGUCCCUUUAACUCUAGGGGUCUUACUUUAUCUACCUGGAAAGUAGAACAGCUGAGCCUGCUCAGGGACUGUGAGCCCUGUCUUCACCUUUGAAUCACCUGGGUAGAUCUGCAGAGUAAGGGCGCCUGGGAUCUUCACCCAAUCAGCUCAAUGAACAGCCAAGGGGAUGGGUCCAGGCUCCAGGUUCUGACGCCUUCCCAAAGUUCUUUCAGUGGUUGUGAUGUGCAGGGAGGAACUGAAAGGCACUGGCCCAGAUGAUAUCUGAAGUUUCUGACAGGCUGAAGAUUGACUGUAAACAAGACAUGGUGACCGUGGAAAGGGUGGGUGGCCCUUUCAGGUGCAGCCAGACGAGACUGACAUUUACCUGUGCAUCAGGCCUGGAUCGCCACUGGUCUGGAAGCUUCCUGGUAGUACAGACUGUAUUUUGCCAGAUCCUGCUAGGCCGUUUGGUAUAAAGUACUCAGUGAGAAGUUUUCACGUUGCUUGGCUAGAGUGCGUCUUACCGGAGCACAUAGGAGUGAUCAAAUGAUCAAAAUUGUGUUGACGGUUACCAAGUUCACACAUAAUUCACUUAAACGGGCUAUCUCUAGGUCCAAGAGGUAAAAUUAAUCUCCAGUCUAGAGCAUCCCUUUCCUGGCCCAUGAAGUCAGAAUGUCACUUGACAUGUCCAUAAGCUUUCUGCUAACUCAUACCCCAAGUAACCAAGCUGAAGUAAAGAAAAGCAGCUUAUUUGACUUCAGAGUUUAGAGGUUUUAGCCCAUGAUUGGAAAACCCAUUGCCUUGGGGCCUCUGAUGGUGGGGGUAGGGGACGGCACAUCAUGGCAUGAGCACGAGUGCGGCACAGCAAAGCAUCUCACCGUGUGGCUGGGGUAUAGAAGCGAGUGACAGAGAAAGGGGCUGGUGCACCUCCAGCAACUGUAAGACUUCCCCCAGGUCCCACCUUUUCAGAUUCUCCCACUUCCCAGUCGCUACUGUGCUGGAGAGCAAGCCUUGACUAUGUGGCCAGUAGGGUCCGUUCUCAGUCCAAACUGAAUCCCUGAGGAAGCAUAGAACAUAAGCUAGCUAUGCUAAGUGGACAUUUUUAUCAAGCUCUGAAGAUCUGUUGGCCAUUUCCACACUCAGGGCCCAAUCAUUGAUCAGGAGACAGAACGGCCUGCUGGACCUCCCAUGACGCAGUGACCAGCUUCGCUUCCCAAUGUCUCUUCCCAGAUAUUCACUCAAGUGACCACCAUGCCCCUGCAUUUACUCUCCCCGUUACCACAACACACAGUAUCCCGAGUGUCAGCUAUUUUGCUGAUUGCUGAUGGCACAGGAGGAGAAGCAUGUUAAUCUCCUGGGUAAGGUCACCCCAGAGCACUCUGCAAGACAGCCCCUUCUGGAAAGCCGUCUUGUGCACAGUUAAUCCCUUCCUUCUUGUAGGUCUGCUUACGGAGGUGACACCUGCUGACCUUGCGUGUUUGAGAGCCACCUAUUUUGAGGGCUGUAGUGCUCUCUGCUCACCACCUACAAUUACCAUGACUAAAAAUACUUCAGAGUGAGGAGAGUCUUCAAGGGGACUUGGCGCCUGGACUACCCUGCUCCUAUUUCGGUGCUGUGUCUCAAGGCCACAGCCUGGCUAUUGCCGAGCCACACAUCACCAGUUAAGACAUUGCUCUUCAGAAUUCAUGGCGGCCUUGUGGCUAGGUCUCUUCCCCCAAAAAAGCUACCCACUAGUGAUCUUCCAGAUAAUCCCCUCACAACUUUGCCACCGUGUGCAGAAACAGCAUUUCACAGACAUCAGGCAAGCAUGCAUAGCCAUGGUGACAUAGCCACAGCUAAAGGGAUCCUUCCACCUUCAGUGGUGUGACUGAGGAGCUACCUCAGGCCAUCGUGUGAAGAGAAAUAAGCUAGGUGAUGCAGGGCAACAGUUUUCACAGGCAUCAUGCCGGUGUGGCAUCUUCUCUUAGGA